This 301-nucleotide ribosomal RNA is filed under the name uncultured bacterium. Its description in RNAcentral is "partial 16S ribosomal RNA". It matches the Rfam family "Bacterial small subunit ribosomal RNA", at positions 509 to 807 of the family's 1533-position model. The record is from RNAcentral.
CAGCAGCCACGGGAAUACGUAGGUGGCAAGCGUUGUCCGGAAUUAUUGGGCGUAAAGGGCUCGCAGGCGGUUUCUUAAGUCUGAUGUGAAAGCCCCCGGCUCAACCGGGGAGGGUCAUUGGAAACUGGGAAACUUGAGUGCAGAAGAGGAGAGUGGAAUUCCACGUGUAGCGGUGAAAUGCGUAGAGAUGUGGAGGAACACCAGUGGCGAAGGCGACUCUCUGGUCUGUAACUGACGCUGAGGAGCGAAAGCGUGGGGAGCGAACAGGAUUAGAGACCCCCGUAGUCCCUGUCUCUUAUAC